ACUCAAAGGAAUUGACGGGGGCCCGCACAAGCAGCGGAGCGUGUGGUUUAAUUCGAUGAUACGCGAAGAACCUCACCCAGGUUUGACAUGCAUGUGGUACUGAUGUGAAAGCAGAGGGACCCCUCGGGGAGCAUGCACAGGUGUUGCACGGCCGUCGUCAGCUCGUGCCGUGAGGUGUUGGGUUAAGUCCCGCAACGAGCGCAACCCCUGUCGCCAGUUGUACUUUUCUGGCGAGACUGCCGAGUAAACCUCGGAGGAAGGAGGGGACGAUGUCAGGUCAGCGUGGCCCUUACGCCUGGGGCUACACACACGCUACAAUGGGUGGUACAACGGGUCGCUAAGCCGCGAGGUGGAGCUAAUCCCAUCAAAACCAUCCUCAGUUCGGAUUGUAGGCUGAAACCCGCCUGCAUGAAGCCGGAGUUGCUAGUAAACGCAGGUCAGCAUUACUGCGUUGAAUACGUUCCCGGGCCUUGCACACACCGCCCGU
RNAcentral lists this ribosomal RNA (487 nucleotides) under uncultured bacterium. RNAcentral describes it as "partial 16S ribosomal RNA". It matches the Rfam family "Bacterial small subunit ribosomal RNA", at positions 899 to 1397 of the family's 1533-position model. The record is from RNAcentral.